GACGAACGCUGGCGGCGUGCCUAAUACAUGCAAGUUGAGCGCUGAAGGUUGGUACUUGUACCAACUGGAUGAGCAGCGAACGGGUGAGUAACGCGUGGGGAAUCUGCCUUUGAGCGGGGGACAACAUUUGGAAACGAAUGCUAAUACCGCAUAAAAACUUUAAACACAAGUUUUAAGUUUGAAAGAUGCAAUUGCAUCACUCAAAGAUGAUCCCGCGUUGUAUUAGCUAGUUGGUGAGGUAAAGGCUCACCAAGGCGAUGAUACAUAGCCGACCUGAGAGGGUGAGCGGCCACAUUGGGACUGAGACACGGCCCAAACUCCUACGGGAGGCAGCAGUAGGGAAUCUUCGGCAAUGGACGAAAGUCUGACCGAGCAACGCCGCGUGAGUGAAGAAGGUUUUCGGAUCGUAAAACUCUGUUGGUAGAGAAGAACGUUGGUGAGAGUGGAAAGCUCAUCAAGUGACGGUAACUACCCGGAAAGGGACGGCUAACUACGUG
RNAcentral lists this ribosomal RNA (497 nucleotides) under uncultured bacterium. Its description in RNAcentral is "partial 16S ribosomal RNA". It matches the Rfam family "Bacterial small subunit ribosomal RNA", at positions 28 to 507 of the family's 1533-position model. The record is from RNAcentral.